This 341-nucleotide long non-coding RNA is filed under the name Lathyrus oleraceus (garden pea). Its description in RNAcentral is "Pisum sativum (pea) long non-coding RNA (PSAT_LNC033314)". The record is from RNAcentral. Lineage: Eukaryota; Viridiplantae; Streptophyta; Magnoliopsida; Fabales; Fabaceae.
UUUGAUGGAGUUUGGAGAAGAAAAGAAUAGGUUUGGAAAGGUUGAAGAAGGUAUAAAUAGUGGAAAAGGUAAAUCUGACUGUUACGUCAUGGCGCCCGCCAUGUCUUCAUAUAUGGUUUGGGCCGACUGUGUUGUUUGCUUCUUGGGCCUCAAUUCUCUCGUCUUCAUUUUUGCAAUGGGGGGUGUAUAUAGGGAUCCACGAAUGCUGUUUUUUUUUUUUUUUUUGAUUUUAAGCUUGAUAGAAUAAAAUGUAACGAAAUAAAAUAAAUCAAAAUAAAGUAAAACAAAAUUAAAUAAAACAAAACAAAAUAAAAUAAUGGACAUAAAAAACACAAUAAUUA